RNAcentral lists this long non-coding RNA (1606 nucleotides) under Sus scrofa (pig). RNAcentral's name for it is "lncRNA (ENSSSCG00055021241.1)". Lineage: Eukaryota; Metazoa; Chordata; Mammalia; Artiodactyla; Suidae. The record is from RNAcentral.
CAUCAGGGUGAUGGCAGCACCUGGGCUGGCCAUGGGCUUCAUCAGUGGAGAAAUCUGUUGCGUUUUUCUGCAGGGCGGGUCUCUGGGAACUACCAUCUCUCCCACCGCGUGUCUGCUAUUAACAGCCCCUGCCUUUCUUCCACGUUCCUCCCCAGCUGUAUUUAACAUCUCAGCUCUGCUGGUGGGGUGGGAUGAACCGGAAGGGGAACUUGCGUGCAGUGUCCCAGAAACAGAGGAAGCUGUCCCUCACCCGCCUCUUAAGGAAGAGGUAAGUGCCCGGGGAGGGGAACUCUUGUGAGCUGGAAAGUUCCUUGCCGGCCCUGAACAUUGCUGCUGCGGGAUGGGAUGCUGUGGGCAAAAGGAAUUGGUUUUUCUUCUCCUUUUGUGCGAUUAUUCUCAGGUUUUUUUGUUCCACGGUGUUGCUAAAAGUUCCCGAGUGGACUCUAGAGGUCUCCCAGAGCUGUGUUUGUUCAGGAAUAGUGUCCCAUCAUUGAUCUUUGCAGGAGACCGGGAAACUGGCUUCUAUGUCACGAUUUAGACUAUAACCUAAUUCUCACUUAAGAAUGACCCUAUUGCGGGAGUUCCCGUGGUGGCGCAGUGGUUAACGAAUCCGACUAGGAACCAUGAGGGUGCAGGUUUGGUCCCUGGCCUCGCUCUGUGGGUUCAGGGUCCAGUGUGGUGAGCUGUGGUGUAGGUUGUAGACGUGGCUUGGAUCUGGCGUUGCUGUGGCUGUGGUGUGGGUGGCAGCUACAGCUCUGAUUUGACCCCAGCCUCGGAACCUCCAUAUGCUGCAGGUGUGGCCCUAGAAAAAGAAAGACAAAAAAAAAGAAUGACCCUAUUAAGAAAUGGCAUUAUUUUGCUUGGAGAGAAGGCUUCAGAGUGACUCAAUAAUAUUUUUGAAAGCUACUUUUUUCUGUUUAUUUGACUCAUAAAGGAUUUCUACCAGACAGAAAAGGCCAGUUAUUGUCCAUAUCAUGUGUGUGUGUUAUGAAAUAAAGUUGCAUGAGGAAGAAGUUAAGUUAUAAAAGGACAGAAUUUCUCAACUCUCAGUGUUGUUGGGUAAAAAGCAAAUUGCUGAUGGAGGCUAAAAAUCUGACCCCUAGCGAUUUCUAAAAAUUCAACAUAAGAUAAACCAGGUGGCCUGAGAUUCUUUUCAAACUGUUGUCUUUAUUAUCUUGUGGUGGUGGUUGGGCAAUGGAAUCAUCUCAGCCAUUGGAUACUCCUGUUAAUAAUACUAACAGAUUAGCAAUUUUCAAGGAAUUUGGAUACUGUAAAGUGUAAGAAGAAACUCAGUUCUGAUAGAUACUUUUUUGUGGACAAAAGGAAGCACUAAGAAAGAUUGUAUAUGGGCGUUCCCGUUGUGGCUCAGUGGAAACGAAUCUGACUAGUAUCCAUGAGGACGCAGGUUUGAUCCCUGGCCUUGCUCAGUGGGUUAAGGAUCCAGCGUUGCCAUGAGCUGUAAUGUAGGUUGCAGAUGUGGCUCAGAUCUGGUGUUGCUGUGACUGUGGUGUGGGUGGCAGCUACAGCUCUGAUUUGACCCCAGCCUUGGAACCUCCACAUGCUGCAGGUGUGGCCCUAAAAAAAAAAAAAAAAAAAAAAAAAAAAA